Arachis ipaensis is the source of this 227-nucleotide non-coding RNA. The record is from RefSeq and is a predicted model, not a curated record. Lineage: Eukaryota; Viridiplantae; Streptophyta; Magnoliopsida; Fabales; Fabaceae.
GUUCUUUAGAAGUGGUGGAGUGUGGAUUUUGAAAUCAAGAAUCAUGCUGUCAAGAUUUCUCAGCUAGGUCCCGGAUUUAAAGCUCUUAUUCCAGAUCUGUAUAGAGGAAAGGUUGGUCUUGAUGUCGCGGAAGCCCAGCAUUUGAUGGAUGGGCUCGAUUGGCAGGGCGCUGUAAAGGAUAUAGAGGCCUCGGUUAACUGGCUUAAAGCAAAUGGUUCAAAGAAGGU